GACGAACGCUGGCGGCGUGCUUAACACAUGCAAGUCGAACGGAAAGGCCCUGCUUUUGUGGGGUGCUCGAGUGGCGAACGGGUGAGUAACACGUGAGUAACCUGCCCUUGACUUUGGGAUAACUUCAGGAAACUGGGGCUAAUACCGGAUAGGAGCUCCUGCUGCAUGGUGGGGGUUGGAAAGUUUCGGCGGUUGGGGAUGGACUCGCGGCUUAUCAGCUUGUUGGUGGGGUAGUGGCUUACCAAGGCUUUGACGGGUAGCCGGCCUGAGGGGGUGACCGGCCACAUUGGGACUGAGAUACGGCCCAGACUCCUACGGGAGGCAGCAGUGGGGAAUAUUGCACAAUGGGCGGAAGCCUGAUGCAGCAACGCCGCGUGCGGGAUGACGGCCUUCGGGUUGUAAACCGCUUUCGCCUGUGACGAAGCGUGAGUGGCGGUAAUGGGUAAAGAAGCUCCGGCUAACUACGUG
This 468-nucleotide ribosomal RNA is filed under the name uncultured bacterium. RNAcentral's name for it is "partial 16S ribosomal RNA". It matches the Rfam family "Bacterial small subunit ribosomal RNA", at positions 28 to 507 of the family's 1533-position model. The record is from RNAcentral.